UCUUACGGCCACACCGGCCUGAGUACGCCUGAUCUCGUCCGAUCUCGGAAGCUAAGCAGGGUCGGGCCUGGUUAGUACUUGGAUGGGAGACCGCCUGGGAAUACCAGGUACUGUAAACU
Molecule: ribosomal RNA, 119 nt
Filed under: Oncorhynchus mykiss (rainbow trout)
Lineage: Eukaryota; Metazoa; Chordata; Actinopteri; Salmoniformes; Salmonidae
Source: RNAcentral